UAUGGAAUGAAGACAGUUUGGACAUGUCAGACUCUCAUUCUCCAGAAUUCUGCACUAGCUCCUGAAGGUGUUCCUGGCUUUAUUAGAUUUGUUCCGGAUGUCCUGGCUGAUGGUGCUGCCCAAGCAUGUGAAUGUUUCUACAUUGAGUGAAGAUCUGGUCUGUGCAUCCACGCCUUUUCCGAAAACCAGUUUGCUCUUUUCUGAGAAUGUUAUCAACUGCCUCUGAUGGCUCAUCUGGUUUCUAUGGCGUUCCACGUGCUGGGUGUAAUCCACUCCUUCCUUCUCUUCCGCCUGUAGCCUAGACAGGCUUCACUGGUCUGUUUAUAAAUUGCUGUUACUUUGUCCCACUUCUUGUUGAUCUCAUCUGCAUUU
Molecule: long non-coding RNA, 372 nt
Organism: Mauremys reevesii (Reeves's turtle)
Lineage: Eukaryota; Metazoa; Chordata; Testudines; Geoemydidae
Exons: 3
Source: RefSeq, a predicted model, not a curated record